AAACCAACAGGGAUUGCCCCAGUAACGGCGAGUGAAGCGGCAAGAGCUCAAAUUUGAAAUCUGGUCUCCCCCGGGGGCCCGAGUUGUAAUUUGCAGAGGAUGCUUCGGGUGCGGCCGCCGUCUAAGUUCCUUGGAACAGGACGUCAGAGAGGGUGAGAAUCCCGUCUUGGGCGGGCGGUCCGCGCCCGUGUGAAGCUCCUUCGACGAGUCGAGUUGUUUGGGAAUGCAGCUCUAAGCGGGUGGUAAAUUUCAUCUAAAGCUAAAUAUUGGCCGGAGACCGAUAGCGCACAAGUAGAGUGAUCGAAAGGUUAAAAGCACCUUGAAAAGGGAGUUAAACAGCACGUGAAAUUGUUGAAAGGGAAGCGCUUGCGGCCAGAUUCGGGGGCGGGGUUCAGCGGGUGCUCGUCGCCCGUGUAUUCCUCGUCUCCCGGGCCAGCAUCAGUUUCGACGGCCGGUCAAAGGCCCCCGGAAUGUGUCGUCUCUCGGGACGUCUUAUAGCCGGGGGUGCAAUGCGGCCCGUCGGGACUGAGGAACGCGCUCCGGCUCGGAUGCUGGCGUAAUGGCCGUAAGCGGC
Molecule: ribosomal RNA, 574 nt
Filed under: Trichophyton mentagrophytes
Lineage: Eukaryota; Fungi; Ascomycota; Eurotiomycetes; Onygenales; Arthrodermataceae
Description: eukaryotic LSU rRNA
Rfam family: Eukaryotic large subunit ribosomal RNA
Source: RNAcentral